CCUACGGGUGGCAGCAGUGGGGAAUAUUGCUCAAUGGGGGAAACCCUGAUGCAGCAACGCCGCGUGGGGGAGGAAGGUUUUCGGAUUGUAAACUCCUUUUUGUAGGGAAGAUAAUGACGGUAUCUAACGAAUAAGCACCGGCUAACUACGUGCCAGCAGCCGCGGUAAUACGGAGGGUGCAAGCGUUACCCGGAAUCACUGGGCGUAAAGGGCGCGUAGGCGGUAUAGCAAGUCAGAUGUGAAAACCUAGGGCUUAACCAUAGAACUGCAUUUGAAACUGUGAAUCUAGAGUGUGGGAGAGGUAUGUGGAAUUCCUGGUGUAGCGGUGAAAUGCGUAGAGAUCAAGAGGAACACCAAUUGCGAAGGCGGCAUACUGGAACAUAACUGACGCUGAUGCGCGAAAGCGUGGGGAGCAAACAGGAUUAGAUACCCUAGUAGUC
This 440-nucleotide ribosomal RNA is filed under the name uncultured bacterium. RNAcentral describes it as "partial 16S ribosomal RNA". It matches the Rfam family "Bacterial small subunit ribosomal RNA", at positions 338 to 795 of the family's 1533-position model. The record is from RNAcentral.